UAAGGGUGAAAAUAAAAUUCCAAAAAUUAUACGACCAAGCCAUUAAACUCCCCUUUCCCUUCUAAUUUUAGGUUGUUGAGUAUUAUAGUGAAGGAUUGGACAUUCUAAAGCAACCAGAAAUACACCAGAGCGAGAGAGCAUAAGCAGAGGGAGCAGCAGAGGAAGAGUGUCCAUGGAGGAGGGUAAAGUGUGGAGUGUAGGGAAGAUCGCUGUUUAAAUAGGUAAGUCAGGAAAACAAUAGAGACGUCA
RNAcentral lists this long non-coding RNA (249 nucleotides) under Mustela putorius furo (domestic ferret). RNAcentral's name for it is "lncRNA (ENSMPUG00000028207.1)". The record is from RNAcentral. Lineage: Eukaryota; Metazoa; Chordata; Mammalia; Carnivora; Mustelidae.